Numida meleagris (helmeted guineafowl) is the source of this 269-nucleotide long non-coding RNA. The record is from Ensembl. Lineage: Eukaryota; Metazoa; Chordata; Aves; Galliformes; Numididae.
AAAUGCUACAGUCAAAAUGCUGCCUCUAUUGGAAACUUCUUUUACAAGUGCUGUAAGAGUUUGGGAAAUCUGUCAAACAUUCUGAGCAGCUGCUGAGCAGAGCCCUCGGAUCCGUGUGUGCUUUGGCAUCGUUGGGAUGCACAGGAGCAAAGAGAAGAGAUGACAGACUUCAGAGACUGAGGAAUUGCUGCUGGAGUACUGGAGCAAUGAGGCAGAAGGAAGGGGCUGGCCCCUGCUUGUACCUGCAGCCCCAGGGCUGCUGUCCAUAA